Molecule: long non-coding RNA, 891 nt
Organism: Pan troglodytes (chimpanzee)
Lineage: Eukaryota; Metazoa; Chordata; Mammalia; Primates; Hominidae
Exons: 3
Source: RefSeq, a predicted model, not a curated record
UAGUUGUCACUGGAAAGUGCUCACAGGCAUUUGCCAUAAGCCCCAAGAAACACUCCACAGAGAGCUAUCAAAUGAAGGAUUUGUCCUGACCGGCACUCUAGCUUCCACCCUAUAUUCUGUAGGCUCAGGCAAUCUUACUAGUUCCCAUUUAGUGUGUCCAAUGAACAUUUCUCAAAGGUCAGAUUUACAUGCCUUCAGUUUUAUAGUACUAGAUAGGGAAAACAUCCCCUAGUGAGAUACAAUUCCCAUUUUCAUAGGAAAUUUAGGUAAAGGAGUCACAACUACCUUACAGAAAGCCUGUUUAAACAUCUCAGAUUUCAUAAUCCUAUCAAUCUUUACAUUUUUAUGUUCUGGUCCCAGGAACUGUUCUUCUCUACUACCAGACCAUUUUACCAUUUCUGGUGGAAAAGGAUUUGGGUUCCCAGAAUGGAGUUGAGCCAAGAUACUCAAGCCGUUUUGUCAAUCUUUACCUUAACUCACCUCGACAUUGCCCCAGAUGGAGUCUUGCUCUGUUGCCCAGACUGGAGUAGAGAUGUGAUCGGCUCUCUGCAACCUCUGCCUUCCAGGUUCAAGUGAUUCUCCUGUCUCAGCCUCCCAAGAAGCUGAGACUACAGAGACAAGAUCUCACUAUGUUACCCAGGCGGGAGUGGAGUGGCUAUUCACAGACAAGAUCAUAGCAUACUGCAGCCCUGAACUCCUGGGCCCAAGUAACCCUCCUGCUCAAGUAGCUGGAACUACCUUGUAAGGUAUGCCACCACGUCCCACUAAUUUUAUUAUUUCUUCCAGUAGUGUGUGAAAGUGCUUUAUCACGAAACCAUCAUACAUAUGUUUCUAAUAGAUUAGAUAAAAUCAUUACUGUCUAUUUUAGUUGAAAUUCUUUGAUUUAGUGAA